This 581-nucleotide long non-coding RNA is filed under the name Capsicum annuum. Its description in RNAcentral is "long non-coding RNA (CANN_LNC007919)". The record is from RNAcentral. Lineage: Eukaryota; Viridiplantae; Streptophyta; Magnoliopsida; Solanales; Solanaceae.
CGGAGAAGUUAAUUUCUUUGCAGGAGCCGGAGCAGGAGUUGAUGCAAGUGGUGCAGGAGAAGGCGCUGCCGGAGGAGGUGGAGGGGUAGCGGGUGGAGGUGGAGAGUUCACUUGCGGAGGAGGAGAAGCAGGAGGAGUGGGAGGUGGUGUAGAUGAAACGACCGGUGGUGGUGAAGCAGUUGGUGGUGGCUGAGCCGGUGGCGUUUGAGUGUUAACUGGAGGAGGAGAACUAUUGGGUGUUGGUGGAGCUUGGUUCGUGGGUGUUGGUGGUGCCUGGGUAGUGGGUGUAGGAGGAGCUUGGUUCGUGGGUGUUGGUGGUGCCUGGGUAGUGGGUGUAGGUGGUGCUUGGGUAGUAGGGGGUGUAGGAGGAGCUUGGUUAGUGGGUGUUGGUGGUGCCUGGUUAGUGGGUGUAGGUGGUGCUUGGGUAGUAGGGGGUGUUGGUGGUGCUUGAGUAGGUGUUGGUGGUCCUGGAGGUGCUUGACCACCAACUCCAGCUAUGAUAAUGCAGAUCAUAAAUCCCAACGAAACAGCAUUAUUCCUAUCCAUCAUUUUGACAAUAUAAUGGAGAGGAGGAAAUUGAA